Molecule: ribosomal RNA, 216 nt
Filed under: Glomeromycotina sp.
Lineage: Eukaryota; Fungi; Glomeromycota
Description: partial small subunit ribosomal RNA
Rfam family: Eukaryotic small subunit ribosomal RNA (bases 40-216)
Source: RNAcentral
GGGUCAGUAGGUUGGUCGUGCCACCGGUACGUACUGGUCUCACUGAUUCCUCCUUCCUGAAGAACCGUAAUGCCAUUAAUUUGGUGUUGUGGGGAAACAGGACUGUUACUUUGAAAAAAUUAGAGUGUUUAAAGCAAGCUAACGCUUGAAUACAUUAGCAUGGAAUAAUGAAAUAGGACGAUCGAUCCUAUUUUGUUGGUUUCUAAGAUUGACGUA